GACAGAGGUGCCGAGCGUUAGGCGGAAUCACUGGGCUUAAAGCGUGUGUAGGCGGCCCGUUAAGUGUCUUGUGAAAUCCCCCGGCUCAACCGGGGGAACGGCUGGGCAUACUGGCGGGCUUGGGUCGCUCAGGGGCAGACGGAACAGGCGGUGGAGCGGUGAAAUGCGUAGAUAUCGCCUGGAACGCCGAAGGUGAAAACAGUCUGCUGGGGGGCGUACCGCAGCUGAGACACGAAAGCCAGGGGAGCGAACGGG
This 255-nucleotide ribosomal RNA is filed under the name uncultured bacterium. Its description in RNAcentral is "partial 16S ribosomal RNA". It matches the Rfam family "Bacterial small subunit ribosomal RNA", at positions 524 to 776 of the family's 1533-position model. The record is from RNAcentral.